AGCGGCAAAAGCUCAAAUUUGAAAUCUGGCACUUUCAGUGUCCGAGUUGUAAUUUGAAGAAGGUAUCUUUGGGUCUGGCUCUUGUCUAUGUUUCUUGGAACAGAACGUCACAGAGGGUGAGAAUCCCGUGCGAUGAGAUGUCCCAGACCUAUGUAAAGUUCCUUCGAAGAGUCGAGUUGUUUGGGAAUGCAGCUCUAAGUGGGUGGUAAAUUCCAUCUAAAGCUAAAUAUUGGCGAGAGACCGAUAGCGAACAAGUACAGUGAUGGAAAGAUGAAAAGAACUUUGAAAAGAGAGUGAAAAAGUACGUGAAAUUGUUGAAAGGGAAGGGCUUGAGAUCAGACUUGGUAUUUUGUAUGUUACUCUCUCGGGGGUGGCCUCUACAGUUUACCGGGCCAGCAUCAGUUUGAGCGGUAGGAUAAGUGCAAAGAAAUGUGGCACUGCUUCGGUAGUGUGUUAUAGUCUUUGUCGAUACUGCCAGCUUAGACUGAGGACUGCGGCUUCGGCCUAGGAUGUUGGCAUAAUGAUCUUAAGUCGCCCGUCUUG
This 543-nucleotide ribosomal RNA is filed under the name Lodderomyces parapsilosis. RNAcentral's name for it is "Candida parapsilosis partial large subunit ribosomal RNA". It matches the Rfam family "Eukaryotic large subunit ribosomal RNA", at positions 97 to 656 of the family's 3401-position model. Lineage: Eukaryota; Fungi; Ascomycota; Pichiomycetes; Serinales; Debaryomycetaceae. The record is from RNAcentral.